This 392-nucleotide ribosomal RNA is filed under the name uncultured bacterium. RNAcentral describes it as "partial 16S ribosomal RNA". It matches the Rfam family "Bacterial small subunit ribosomal RNA", at positions 523 to 917 of the family's 1533-position model. The record is from RNAcentral.
AUACGGAGGAUGCGAGCGUUAUCCGGAUUUAUUGGGUUUAAAGGGAGCGUAGGUGGGAUAUUAAGUCAGCUGUGAAAGUUUGGGGCUCAACCUUAAAAUUGCAGUUGAUACUGGUUUCCUUGAGUACGGUACAGGUGGGCGGAAUUCGUGGUGUAGCGGUGAAAUGCUUAGAUAUCACGAAGAACUCCGAUCGCGAAGGCAGCUCACCGGGCCGGAACUGACACUGAUGCUCGAAAGUGCGGGUAUCAAACAGGAUUAGAUACCCUGGUAGUCCGCACAGUAAACGAUGAAUACUCGCUGUUUGCGAUACACGGUAAGCGGCCAAGCGAAAGCGUUAAGUAUUCCACCUGGGGAGUACGCCGGCAACGGUGAAACUCAAAUGAAUUGACGGG